RNAcentral lists this ribosomal RNA (650 nucleotides) under uncultured marine bacterium. RNAcentral's name for it is "bacterial SSU rRNA". It matches the Rfam family "Bacterial small subunit ribosomal RNA", at positions 73 to 726 of the family's 1533-position model. The record is from RNAcentral.
AGCUUGCUACUUUGCUGACGAGCGGCGGACGGGUGAGUAAUGCUUGGGAACAUGCCUUGAGGUGGGGGACAACAGUUGGAAACGACUGCUAAUACCGCAUAAUGUCUACGGACCAAAGGGGGCUUCGGCUCUCGCCUUUAGAUUGGCCCAAGUGGGAUUAGCUAGUUGGUGAGGUAAUGGCUCACCAAGGCGACGAUCCCUAGCUGGUUUGAGAGGAUGAUCAGCCACACUGGGACUGAGACACGGCCCAGACUCCUACGGGAGGCAGCAGUGGGGAAUAUUGCACAAUGGGCGCAAGCCUGAUGCAGCCAUGCCGCGUGUGUGAAGAAGGCCUUCGGGUUGUAAAGCACUUUCAGUCAGGAGGAAAGGUUAGUAGUUAAUACCUGCUAGCUGUGACGUUACUGACAGAAGAAGCACCGGCUAACUCCGUGCCAGCAGCCGCGGUAAUACGGAGGGUGCGAGCGUUAAUCGGAAUUACUGGGCGUAAAGCGUACGCAGGCGGUUUGUUAAGCGAGAUGUGAAAGCCCUGGGCUCAACCUGGGAACUGCAUUUCGAACUGGCAAACUAGAGUGUGAUAGAGGGUGGUAGAAUUUCAGGUGUAGCGGUGAAAUGCGUAGAGAUCUGAAGGAAUACCGAUGGCGAAGGCAGCC